UACGGAGGGGGUUAGCGUUGUUCGGAAUUACUGGGCGUAAAGCGCGCGUAGGCGGAUUAGAAAGUUGGGGGUGAAAUCCCGGGGCUCAACCCCGGAACUGCCUCCAAAACUACUAGUCUAGAGUUCGAGAGAGGUGAGUGGAAUUCCGAGUGUAGAAGUGAAAUUCGUAGAUAUUCGGAGGAACACCAGUGGCGAAGGCGGCUCACUGGCUCGAUACUGACGCUGAGGUGCGAAAGUGUGGGGAGCAAACAGG
This 253-nucleotide ribosomal RNA is filed under the name uncultured bacterium. Its description in RNAcentral is "partial 16S ribosomal RNA". It matches the Rfam family "Bacterial small subunit ribosomal RNA", at positions 524 to 776 of the family's 1533-position model. The record is from RNAcentral.